This 677-nucleotide ribosomal RNA is filed under the name Arthrobacter sp. Its description in RNAcentral is "bacterial SSU rRNA". It matches the Rfam family "Bacterial small subunit ribosomal RNA", at positions 329 to 1016 of the family's 1533-position model. The record is from RNAcentral. Lineage: Bacteria; Bacillati; Actinomycetota; Actinomycetes; Micrococcales; Micrococcaceae.
CCCCCUACUCCUACGGGAGGCAGCAGUGGGGAAUAUUGCACAAUGGGCGGAAGCCUGAUGCAGCGACGCCGCGUGAGGGAUGACGGCCUUCGGGUUGUAAACCUCUUUCAGUAGGGAAGAAGCGAAAGUGACGGUACCUGCAGAAGAAGCGCCGGCUAACUACGUGCCAGCAGCCGCGGUAAUACGUAGGGCGCAAGCGUUAUCCGGAAUUAUUGGGCGUAAAGAGCUCGUAGGCGGUUUGUCGCGUCUGCCGUGAAAGUCCGGGGCUCAACUCCGGAUCUGCGGUGGGUACGGGCAGACUAGAGUGAUGUAGGGGAGACUGGAAUUCCUGGUGUAGCGGUGAAAUGCGCAGAUAUCAGGAGGAACACCGAUGGCGAAGGCAGGUCUCUGGGCAUUAACUGACGCUGAGGAGCGAAAGCAUGGGGAGCGAACAGGAUUAGAUACCCUGGUAGUCCAUGCCGUAAACGUUGGGCACUAGGUGUGGGGGACAUUCCACGUUUUCCGCGCCGUAGCUAACGCAUUAAGUGCCCCGCCUGGGGAGUACGGCCGCAAGGCUAAAACUCAAAGGGAUUGACGGGGGCCCGCACAAGCGGCGGAGCAUGCGGAUUAAGUCGAUGCAACGCGAAGAACCUUACCAAGGCUUGACAUGAACCGGUAAGACCUGAAAACAUCCCCCC